GCGUGCUAUACAUGCAGUCGAGCGGACAGAUGGGAGCUUGCUCCCUGAUGUUAGCGGCGGACGGGUGAGUAACACGUGGGUAACCUGCCUGUAAGACUGGGAUAACUCCGGGAAACCGGGGCUAAUACCGGAUGGUUGUUUGAACCGCAUGGUUCAAACAUAAAAGGUGGCUUCGGCUACCACUUACAGAUGGACCCGCGGCGCAUUAGCUAGUUGGUGAGGUAACGGCUCACCAAGGCAACGAUGCGUAGCCGACCUGAGAGGGUGAUCGGCCACACUGGGACUGAGACACGGCCCAGACUCCUACGGGAGGCAGCAGUAGGGAAUCUUCCGCAAUGGACGAAAGUCUGACGGAGCAACGCCGCGUGAGUGAUGAAGGUUUUCGGAUCGUAAAGCUCUGUUGUUAGGGAAGAACAAGUACCGUUCGAAUAGGGCGGUACCUUGACGGUACCUAACCAGAAAGCCACGGCUAACUACGUGCCAGCAGCCGCGGUAAUACGUAGGUGGCAAGCGUUGUCCGGAAUUAUUGGGCGUAAAGGGCUCGCAGGCGGUUUCUUAAGUCUGAUGUGAAAAGCCCCCGGCUCAACCGGGGAGGGUCAUUGGAAACUGGGGAACUUGAGUGCAAGAAGAGAGAGUGGAAUUCCACGUGUAGCGGUGAAAUGGCG
Molecule: ribosomal RNA, 665 nt
Filed under: Bacillus subtilis
Lineage: Bacteria; Bacillati; Bacillota; Bacilli; Caryophanales; Bacillaceae
Description: bacterial SSU rRNA
Rfam family: Bacterial small subunit ribosomal RNA
Source: RNAcentral